AUUGAACGCUGGCGGCAUGCUUUACACAUGCAAGUCGAACGGUAACAGGGAGCUUGCUCCGCUGACGAGUGGCGAACGGGUGAGUAAUAUAUCGGAACGUACCCAAGAGUGGGGGAUAACGUAGCGAAAGUUACGCUAAUACCGCAUACGAUCUAUGAAUGAAAGCAGGGGACCUUCGGGCCUUGUUCUCCUGGAGCGGCCUAUAUCUGAUUAGCUAGUUGGUGAGGUAAAGGCUCACCAAGGCGACGAUCAGUAGCUGGUCUGAGAGGACGACCAGCCACACUGGAACUGAGACACGGUCCAGACUCCUACGGGAGGCAGCAGUGGGGAAUUUUGGACAAUGGGCGCAAGCCUGAUCCAGCAAUGCCGCGUGAGUGAAGAAGGCCUUCGGGUUGUAAAGCUCUUUUGUCAGGGAAGAAACGGCAGAGGCUAAUAUCCUUUGCUAAUGACGGUACCUGAAGAAUAAGCACCGGCUAACUACGUGCCAGCAGCCGCAGUAA
RNAcentral lists this ribosomal RNA (500 nucleotides) under uncultured bacterium. RNAcentral's name for it is "partial 16S ribosomal RNA". It matches the Rfam family "Bacterial small subunit ribosomal RNA", at positions 30 to 523 of the family's 1533-position model. The record is from RNAcentral.